This 304-nucleotide unclassified non-coding RNA is filed under the name uncultured fungus. RNAcentral describes it as "partial contains 5.8S ribosomal RNA, internal transcribed spacer 2, and large subunit ribosomal RNA". The stretch from base 1 to 52 matches the Rfam family "5.8S ribosomal RNA", at positions 103 to 154 of the family's 154-position model. The record is from RNAcentral. Lineage: Eukaryota; Fungi.
AACGCACCUUGCGCUCCUUGGUAUUCCGAGGAGCAUGCCUGUUUGAGUGUCUUGAAGUCAUCAACCCCCGACGCUUUUGCGAGCGGACGGCGGGUUGGACCUGGGGGACCUGCCGCUCGCUCUGCUUGCGGCUCCCCUCAAAUGCUUCGGUUGGGCCUGUGGGUCGAACUCGGCUGGGCGUUGUACCAUCCUCGCUCCGAAGAGACGUUCCCCUGUGCGAGCCCCUCCACGACCUGCCCGCGGGGUGGCGGUCAACACAUGAAAUUCUGACCUCAAAUCAGGUAGGACUACCCGCUGAACUUAA